Molecule: small RNA, 690 nt
Filed under: Pongo abelii (Sumatran orangutan)
Lineage: Eukaryota; Metazoa; Chordata; Mammalia; Primates; Hominidae
Description: retained intron
Source: RNAcentral
GGAAUCCGCUGUGUGGCUUACAAUAACCAGUCAAACAGAUUGGCUGUUUCACGAACAGAUGGCACUGUGGAAAUUUAUAACUUGUCAGCAAACUACUUUCAGGAGAAAUUUUUCCCAGGUCAUGAGUCUCGGGCUACAGAAGCUCUGUGCUGGGCAGAAGGACAACGACUCUUUAGUGCUGGGCUCAAUGGUGAGAUUAUGGAGUAUGACUUACAGGCGUUAAACAUCAAGUAUGCUAUGGAUGCCUUUGGAGGACCUAUUUGGAGCAUGGCUGCCAGCCCCAGUGGCUCUCAACUUUUGGUUGGCUGUGAAGAUGGAUCUGUGAAACUAUUUCAAAUUACCCCGGACAAAAUCCAGUUUGAAAGAAAUUUUGAUCGGCAGAAAAGUAAGCGUCAUUUUUCGUGGGGCGGUAAAUAGCCUUAACAAGAAAUUAAGUUUCUGUGCCACUGGGGAUGGGAUAUUUUCCCAUGAAUCCAGGUCGCAUCCUGAGUCUCAGCUGGCAUCCCUCUGGUACCCACAUUGCAGCUGGUUCCAUAGACUACAUUAGUGUGUUUGAUGUCAAAUCAGGCAGCGCUGUUCAUAAGAUGAUUGUGGACAGGCAGUAUAUGGGCGCGUCUAAGCGGAAGUGCAUCGUGUGGGGUGUCGCCUUCUUGUCCGAUGGCACUGUCAUAAGUGUGGACUCUGCUGGGA